GCGGAUGGCUGGAUGACCGCGGGCGGGCCGACCUUCGGGGCGGGGCCGCGCGAGGAAAGUCCGGGCUCCAUGCAGGCACGGUGCCGGGUAACGCCCGGCGGGGGCAACCCCAGGGAAAGCGCCACAGAGAAGAGACCGCCGGCGGCCAGGCCCCUUCGGGGUACCAGCCGCAGGCAAGGGUGAAACGGUGGGGUAAAAGCCCACCGCGGGACGGGCAACCGGACCGGCACGGCAAGCCCCACCGGGAGCAAUGCCGAAUAGGGAUCGCGCGCGGGGGCAACCCCGCAGGGCCGCCUGCGCCCCGGCAGAUCCGGGUUGGCAGCUUGAGCCCGUCAGCAAUGGCGGGCCGAGAGGAAUGGUCAUCCAGAGGGGCGAAACCCCCUUGGACAGAACCCGGCUUACAGGCCGUCCGCGCGU
The sequence is a non-coding RNA, 417 nucleotides long. It matches the Rfam family "Bacterial RNase P class A". From Rfam's summary of the family: Ribonuclease P (RNase P) is a ubiquitous endoribonuclease, found in archaea, bacteria and eukarya as well as chloroplasts and mitochondria. The record is from Rfam.